UACGUAGGGGGCAAGCGUUGUCCGGAAUCAUUGGGCGUAAAGCGCGUGUAGGCGGCUUGGUAAGUCCGCUCUGAAAGCCCGGGGCUCAACCCCGGGAGGCGGGUGGAUACUGUCAAGCUCGAGUCCGGAAGAGGCGAGUGGAAUUCCUGGUGUAGUGGUGAAAUGCGUAGAGAUCGGGAGGAACACCUGUGGCGAAGGCGGCCAGCUGGGCCGGACCUGACGCUGAGACGCGAAGGCGUGGGGAGCGAACGGG
RNAcentral lists this ribosomal RNA (253 nucleotides) under uncultured bacterium. Its description in RNAcentral is "partial 16S ribosomal RNA". It matches the Rfam family "Bacterial small subunit ribosomal RNA", at positions 524 to 776 of the family's 1533-position model. The record is from RNAcentral.